RNAcentral lists this long non-coding RNA (198 nucleotides) under Fukomys damarensis (Damara mole-rat). Its description in RNAcentral is "lncRNA (ENSFDAG00000029863.1)". The record is from RNAcentral. Lineage: Eukaryota; Metazoa; Chordata; Mammalia; Rodentia; Bathyergidae.
AUGUUAUGCCUAAGCCAUUUAGAACAGUAUCUAAUAUAUACAUGUUCAGUAAACAGCGCUGUCCGUAUUAUUGUCAUCAUCAUCAUCUUCAUCAUCAUUGCCGACUGCAGAGUAAUAACAUCUCUUUGGUUUGGAGCCAGAGCUGAGGAGAGAAUACUGUGGCAGAAGCCUCUUCCAGACCCACUGUGCCUGUUGUGA